Molecule: ribosomal RNA, 253 nt
Filed under: uncultured bacterium
Lineage: Bacteria
Description: partial 16S ribosomal RNA
Rfam family: Bacterial small subunit ribosomal RNA
Source: RNAcentral
UACGUAGGUGGCAAGCGUUAUCCGGAAUUACUGGGUGUAAAGGGUGAGUAGGCGGCAUGGUAAGCCAGAUGUGAAAGCCUUGGGCUUAACCCGAGGAUUGCAUUUGGAACUAUCAAGCUAGAGUACAGGGGAGGAAAGCGGAAUUCCUAGUGUAGCGGUGAAAUGCGUAGAUAUUAGGAAGAACACCAGUGGCGAAGGCGGCUUUCUGGACUGAAACUGACGCUGAGGCACGAAAGCGUGGGGAGCGAACAGG